GUAAACACCAAACCCCAAUAGAUUGCCAUUAGACUACCACCGCUUGGUUCACUUGGAUACUUUGUGAUAGCUUAUCAAUUUUUGUAUUGAUUGUGUAUGGAAUAAGUAAGAUAUAAAAUGUGUUAAAAAAAAGGGAAAAUUAGAAAAAUGAGACACUUUCAUCUUAGAUUUGUUCCAAUAAGAUUUGUAGAGGAUUAUUUAGGUAAAUAAGAUUUAUAUUCUCUUUAAUACCAUUAUACCCUUAUAAUUAACCAAAUUAACCUUAAUUAAAAUUUAAAUUAAUUCGUAAUUGAUUUAAAUUUUAAUUAAAAAAAAAACACAAAAGGAUUAAAAACUUGUUUACCCUAAUAUUUUUUCACUUCUCUUCUUCUCCGCCGUGUACCUUCAAGCCUUCAACCCUUUCAAUGUCAAUUUAGGAUACAAUUCAGCGAAUUGGGGAUUUGUUCUUUGGUUUGUCAGACGGUCCUCUUCUCUCUCUACGGUUUCGUCGGACGGUAUUCUUCUCUCACUACAGGUUUCGUCGGACGGUCCCUUCACAGUUUGAUGUAAGAUCUGGUCUAAACCACAUUGCAGAUCAGGCCUGACAUCGAAAGGAUCGAGAAAUGGGUGUUACGCAUUGCUUUUGAUGAUGAGAAGAAUCCUUAUCUACCGAAGGUUUUCUAACAGAGCCAUCUUUGGAAAAUUCUUCCCUAAGGUUCUACUUCAUUCUUUGCCUGAACUGUCUUUGAUCUUUGCUCUGAUAUGUACAUAUAAUGAGCAGAGCGCUGCUAGAGCUACUGUGCCAGGAGGUCCAAGUGUACCAUGUAGUACAGCGAAGGCUGUGGAAUGGGACGCUGCUUGGUCACAGAACCUUGACCUGUCGGGUCGUGCGGCUCUUGGAGUUCAUGUUGCAGCUUAUGAGGAAGAUAAAGCCGAAGAUACCCGUCCUAAGAAGCUACAGGCAGAGAAAACUGCAGAAGGCAUUGUUUGAGGAUUAAACAAGGUUUAUAACGAAUGUUUGCAUCGCACAUUUCUCUUAUUUUCUCAAAAGACAAUACUUUAUCAUCUUCCGUAGGGUCAAUAAGUGCCAAUAAGUUGUCUCUUUAACUGAAUUGUGUUAGGAGUUUCUGAGGAUGUACCUAAGUUUCUGGUGAUUUUCUAUUUGUUUUCCUGAAUA
Brassica napus (rape) is the source of this 1156-nucleotide long non-coding RNA. RefSeq lists it as uncharacterized. The record is from RefSeq and is a predicted model, not a curated record. The transcript has 2 exons. NCBI's taxonomy places the organism in Eukaryota, Viridiplantae, Streptophyta, Magnoliopsida, Brassicales, Brassicaceae.